GGAUAGCUCAGUUGGUUAGAGCAUGGUGCUGAUAACAUCAAGGUCGUUGGUUUGAUCCCCAUAUGGGACAGCUACA
This is a non-coding RNA of Podarcis lilfordi (Lilford's wall lizard), 76 nucleotides long. The record is from the annotation of a GenBank genome assembly. NCBI's taxonomy places the organism in Eukaryota, Metazoa, Chordata, Lepidosauria, Squamata, Lacertidae.